RNAcentral lists this ribosomal RNA (421 nucleotides) under uncultured bacterium. RNAcentral's name for it is "bacterial SSU rRNA". It matches the Rfam family "Bacterial small subunit ribosomal RNA", at positions 358 to 774 of the family's 1533-position model. The record is from RNAcentral.
GGGAUAUUGGGCAAUGGGGGCAACCCUGACCCAGCCAUGCCGCGUGAGGGAAUGAGGCCCCAGUGGUCGUGAACCUCUUUUGCGCGGGGACAAGGACCUGGUCGGGAACCGGGUUUGAGGGUACCGCGCGAAUAAGCAUCGGCUACCUCCGUGCCAGCAGCCGCGGUAAUACGGAGGAUGCGAGCGUUAUCCGGAUUCAUUGGGUUUAAAGGGUGCGCAGGCGGCCCGUGCAAGUCGGCGGUGAAAUCCCGGGGCCCAACCCCGGAAGUGCCGUCGAUACUGUCGGGCUGGAAUGCGGUCGAGGCGGGCGGAACGUGGCGUGUAGCGGUGAAAUGCGUAGAUAUGCCACAGAACGCCGAUAGCGGAGGCAGCUCGCCAGGCCUGCAUUGACGCUCGGGCACGAAAGCGUGGGGAUCGAACA